This 491-nucleotide ribosomal RNA is filed under the name uncultured bacterium. Its description in RNAcentral is "partial 16S ribosomal RNA". It matches the Rfam family "Bacterial small subunit ribosomal RNA", at positions 28 to 507 of the family's 1533-position model. The record is from RNAcentral.
GAUGAACGCUGGCUACAGGCUUAACACAUGCAAGUCGAGGGGAAACGACGGGGAAGCUUGCUUCCCCGGGCGUCGACCGGCGCACGGGUGAGUAACGCGUAUCCAACCUGCCUCUGACUGAGGGAUAACCCGUCGAAAGUCGGCCUAAUACCUCAUGGCAUCGUCUGCGGGCAUCCAACGACGAUUAAAGAUUUCAUCGGUCAGGGAUGGGGAUGCGUCUGAUUAGCUAGUUGGCGGGGUAACGGCCCACCAAGGCGACGAUCAGUAGGGGUUCUGAGAGGAAGGUCCCCCACGUUGGAACUGAGACACGGUACAAACACCUAAGGGAGGCAGAAGUGAGGAAUAUUGGUCAAUGGGCGCGAGCCUGAACCAGCCCAGUAGCGUGAAGGAUGACGGCCCUAUGGGUUGUAAACUGAUUUUAUGCGGGGAUAAAGUGAGGGACGUGUCCUUCAUUGCAGGUACCGAAUGAAUAAGGACCGGCUAAUUCCGUG